Molecule: ribosomal RNA, 152 nt
Filed under: Cladonia cartilaginea
Lineage: Eukaryota; Fungi; Ascomycota; Lecanoromycetes; Lecanorales; Cladoniaceae
Description: 5.8S ribosomal RNA
Rfam family: 5.8S ribosomal RNA
About the family: 5.8S ribosomal RNA (5.8S rRNA) is a component of the large subunit of the eukaryotic ribosome.
Source: RNAcentral
CUUUCAACAACGGAUCUCUUGGUUCUGGCAUCGAUGAAGAACGCAGCGAAAUGCGAUAAGUAAUGUGAAUUGCAGAAUUUAGUGAAUCAUCGAAUCUUUGAACGCACAUUGCGCCCCUUGGUAGUCCGGGGGGCAUGCCUGUUCGAGCGUCA